Molecule: ribosomal RNA, 444 nt
Filed under: uncultured bacterium
Lineage: Bacteria
Description: bacterial SSU rRNA
Rfam family: Bacterial small subunit ribosomal RNA
Source: RNAcentral
ACUCCUACGGGAGGCAGCAGUGGGGAAUCUUGGACAAUGGGGGCAACCCUGAUCCAGCCAUGCCGCGUGGACGAUGAAGGCCCUAGGGUUGUAAAGUCCUUUCAGCUGGGAAGAUAAUGACGGUACCAGCAGAAGAAGCCCCGGCUAACUCCGUGCCAGCAGCCGCGGUAAUACGGAGGGGGCUAGCGUUGUUCGGAAUUACUGGGCGUAAAGCGCACGUAGGCGGAUCGGAAAGUUGGGGGUGAAAUCCCGGGGCUCAACCUCGGAACUGCCUCCAAAACUGUCGGUCUUGAGUUCUGGAGAGGUGAGUGGAAUUCCGAGUGUAGAGGUGAAAUUCGUAGAUAUUCGGAGGAACACCAGUGGCGAAGGCGGCUCACUGGCCAGAUACUGACGCUGAGGUGCGAAAGCGUGGGGAGCAAACAGGAUUAGAUACCCCAGUAGUCC